Molecule: long non-coding RNA, 3036 nt
Organism: Mya arenaria
Lineage: Eukaryota; Metazoa; Mollusca; Bivalvia; Myida; Myidae
Exons: 11
Source: RefSeq, a predicted model, not a curated record
UAGCAGCAUAUUUGUGGACUUAGUCAGGGAAUUGAAUUUAGAAAAAAAUACUGCUCACCCCUUUGUGUUUGUUAGAAAAAUGUAUGUACUUAAAAACAACAACAAUGUUUUCUGUGUCAUAAUCAAAGCAUAAGGUUUGUAAAAACAAAAAAUGUUUUGAGUAGGUCUGAUAUGCAGUCUGCACAAAAUAUCUUGCCGAUGUUCUCAUCAUUGUCUGUAUUGAAGUCUAAUUCUAGGUGGAGUUUCGUCUCCCAUUGAGUAACAGUUUCUUUGGACAGUUUGUUAAUUUUGGCUGCUAUGUCGGAUUAGUUUGAUCAUCACCAUCGGCCUUCGUAGAUAUUAAAUAUCAAUGCAUAAAAAACUUUAAAAAUAUUAUUGCUUUUCAUGAUGAUGGACUGUGCCUCAAAAUUGAUAUAAGUCAAAUACUGCCGUCUAGAAUCUGAGCACGAAAUAACAGUCUACAACGUGUAAUGGAGUGUUUGCUAGGCAAGAGCUCUUGAAGGGGCAGUUUAUUCUCGAGUACAGAGGAGAACUAUGUAAACAGCAGUCUGAUGGUGAUGAAAUGUUCAAAUACCAUUUCAGACAUAACAACAAGGAAUACUGCAUCGAUGCCUCAAAAGACACGUGUCUGGCAUGCAUGGUCAACGACUUGGACCGAUACACAAAGCCUAAUUGCAAAAUGGUUAAAGUUGUUGAUGACAGACAUCAACCAAGACUCUGUCUGUAUGAUCAGCAAAGACACUGAAUUGAGGUACGAUUAUGAUGUUGCUGAUGUACCUUGGAGAAAGCGAAAGAUGCUGUUAAAGAUGGUCAUACAGCUGCAGAUACUACAGAGGUCACAGAAACAUCUGAAGAUGCCCUCAGUGAAUCAGCAGAAGUCUUGGAACAUGCUUAUCAUGAUGCUGUAGGGAACAGUGGGACAGUUGCCCCAUCCACAGUUGUCUCUGAACAUGCUGAAGGGCCGCCUCAAGAUGCUGUUAAAGAUGGUCAUACAGCUGCAGAUACUACAGAGGUCACAGAAACAUCUGAAGAUGCCCUCAGUGAAUCAGCAGAAGUCUUGGAACAUGCUUAUCAUGAUGCUGUAGAAAUCAGAGGGAUAGUUUACCAUCCACAGUUGUCUCUGAACAUGCUGAAGGGCCGCCUCGAGCAAUGUUCAAGAUUUGACCCAGGAGCAGCUACAGGAUAUGGUUGAUCAGAGUGAGAGGCAUCUGCGGAAAAUAUUUGGAGGAUAUAUUCUCUGCGAGAGACAUAUUGCAUUCAAGCAGGAAGGAAGAAGCAAAAAUGCUGUUAAGACGAUUAUACAGUUGCAGAAACAACAGAGAUCUCGGAACCAUCUCAAGAUGCUCUUGGUGCAUCAACAGAAGAUCAGAAGUGGACCAUGCUUAUCUUGAUGCUACAGGGAACAUGGUACAGUUGCCCCAUCCACUGUCAUCUCUGAACAUGCUGAAGGGCUGCCUGAAGCCAGGAACUUUCAGCGUUUAACAGAGGAGCAAGGCCAACUCCUAAGAAAAUGUCGAAGUGUUCAACAUUACUAUGAGACGGGAACUGAAGAUGAUAGACUGUAUUAAUUCAAUCAAAAGCCACAAGUGUUUGAAUUCUCUGAAGUGGAAUUAAAUAAAAAGCACAUUACACAGUUGGAUAACGACAGAUUGCACACUGAAACAAUAAUAAGUGUUCAAAGUGCUAGUACAUCUUGUACAUAGUGUCAAGGUGUCCAAGCAUGUCUCUGUAAGCCAAUGGUUCACUGCAUAUGAGGUUAUUUUAUAUCUUACAGUGGAUUGCAGCAAAAGGCCAGAGGAAAAUAUGUUUUGAUACUCAUCCGUAUUUUGAAGAAGAAAAAAGGGGCUGAAUGGCAUGUUUAUUUUUGUUUAUUUGACGGGCGGGCUGGGAUGAGAAUCUAAAAUAUUUUUUCUCUGGCUUAAGGCUUUAUUCUUAGUAUGUAUCUAUUAUGUCAUCAUGAUGAAGUCAUCGUUACUAUUCUACAUUGUUAAAAAUUAGAUUCAAUCAUUUUUAGAUUUCCGGAGGUUUUGAAGAGCAUAUUUUUAACAGCCAAUGGGAUCAUAAGCACAUUUCGAGUGUUACAUGACCCAGCCUUUUUAUCAAAAGUUGCUCAGAGUUCAUUUUUGUGUGUCAGAGUAAUAGGCCUUGGAAACUUCAAAAUGGCUGAAAAGGCUUGUCCAAGCACUUUAUUUUCGCUUGCACUGUUUAUCAUCUAGGUUAAUAAAUAUAAUUUCAGUUGAUUUGCAGAAAGUUUACCAGGAUAAGAAUUUGUCGAUUGUUUCUAUACAAUAAUAAUUUCAAUAAACUAACUUUAUUUUCAAACAGUUUUGACACAAUGACCACAAUGAAUUUAUAUUUUGUCACAACUAAAACUGGGACCAAGGUCUACUGCAUUGUAAAUGAAAAAUAGAAUUUAACAAAAUGGGUAUGUCAUGUACAACACUGAUACAAUGUUCUCAGUAGUGGUGACAUUAUGUCAUAAUAAUUUUUGUCACAAAUAGAUUUUUAGAGUUGCCGAUUGUUUUAUUCAAACAGUAAUUUCUCAUUUGAAUUUUAUGGAGAAGUGUAUUUUAUACACAUUCACAGUUAAUGUGUAAUUUCAUGGUGUCAGUCAUUGGUUUGCAGUUCAUGUUACUUUGUAGUUUCUCACUUGUAUUUUGUGACAUAUUCUUGACAUGUAAAGAUGGCAAAUGUAUGUGAUGAAUGUGAGAGAUUAACAUUGUUCAUUGCACAAUGUAUUCACAUAUGUGCUUGUUAACCUCGUUCACUAUUUUAUUUCCCUCUGCAUGUAACCAAAAAUGACUUGUUUAUAAAAUGUCCAUGAUUUAUUUAAAAUUCCAUAAUCAUGGCAACUCGUUUUACUCGUUUUAAUCUUCGAAAAAAGGUGAGGGCUCCCUCCACGGCGCUUCUUGUUUGUUUGUUUUUAGAUUAUUUUUGCUCUGAAGCAAAAUGAUGACCCCCAAUUAUUUUGCUUAUAUUUUUUAAUGAAAUGUAUAAAAUACAUGUACUUCAACGUGAAAUAAAUUUGCCUUAAAA